This 698-nucleotide long non-coding RNA is filed under the name Gossypium raimondii (Peruvian cotton). RNAcentral describes it as "long non-coding RNA (GRAI_LNC006650)". The record is from RNAcentral. Lineage: Eukaryota; Viridiplantae; Streptophyta; Magnoliopsida; Malvales; Malvaceae.
AAAUCUAAACCCUGGCUCAAAGCCGGAAACUCUCCUCAACUCCGACGAAGACCGACCGAGAGGGUUUCGACGGCGCGCCCGGGUAAGGUUGCUUCUCGUCUUUUCUCUUUUUAUUUUAUAUUCUUAUAUAUGUGAUUAAAAUAAAAUAAAAAUGAAAAGGAAAGAAAACCAUAUUAAGAAACAGUAUGAAAAAAUAGAGAAGAAAAAAAAACCUUCUUUUUUUUACAUUUGUUCCCCCCUCGAAAUUACAUUAUUUGUGGCUUUUUAUAGCUGAUUUUACACUUCUAUGUUGACUGUUUUUGGCUACUGUUUCGCUUCAUUUUCGUUACUAUUUCUAUUUUGUCUCUUUUCCUUUUCUUGCGCUGUUUCUACCUCUUUUCUCAUGUUCGCAGGCGCUGACGGAGGAGAAAGGCUGACCCUUACCAUUUUGGUGCAAGAGAGGCAGCCCUCGAGCGAUGUGCACGCCGACACUGCACAUGGAGGCAGCGGCGCAAAGGAAAAGAGGGAACCCUAGGGUUCCCUGAUGCUGUUUAGUCUUUUGGGCCCCAUUGGACCGUUUAGGGUUUUAAAAUUUGGGCUGUGAGUUCAUUUGGUGUUGGCCGGGGCUAAAAUUGGGCUGUACAUUUAAAAUUUAGUCUACAUACUUUAGUUAUGGGACAAUAAGUCUCUAUAUUUUUUUCAUGUAAAAAUCUUGAUCC